GGGCCUAUAGCUCAAUGGUAGUCUGGUGGAGCAUUUGACUGCAGACCAAGACUCAAGAGGUCACUGGUUCAAACCCAGUUGGGUCCU
This is a non-coding RNA of Picea glauca (white spruce), 87 nucleotides long. The record is from Rfam. Lineage: Eukaryota; Viridiplantae; Streptophyta; Pinopsida; Pinales; Pinaceae.